AGGGGGAGCUCCGCCCCCUCCUCAGGAGCAAUCUGGAUGACGACCUGAAUGCUCCGUGUCUUCAUUGCUGCUGCACUCUUAUCUGUAUUUUACAGAUGACUCACUGUGGCAGAUAAUCUGCUCAGAUGAUGGACGGCUGCCGCGCCGCAGUCACCAGGAGCAGCGGAGCCACCUGGUUUCAGGGACCAAUAAAGUUUCAUCUCCCGUCUCCUCUGCAGCCACUUCUACAGGCCGUUUCUAGGACCAGUGGGCGAGUGCUAAUAGUCCCAUAGCAACAAGCAGACAACAACGAUGGAAGCCUCCCACUUUGAAACCUCUGGAUUACAUCAUCUCCAUAUUCAACUCCAGGUGUCUCCCCCCCCCCCCUGGUAAGAUAAAACUCUACUUUCAUGCCCUACUGUGGCAAUAAAGUGGUCAUUAAUAAUGAAAUAUGAUGUGGACACUGAAGGGGCAUUGGAGACGGGAGGUAGUUGUGUUAUUUGUCACUAGACGGAGAUUGUGAACUGCUUGAUGGUGUUUGUUGGUCUGGUUAGAUUUCCUUUAGAGCAGCGGUGUCAAACAUGCGGCCCGUGGUCCAAAACCGGCCCGCCAGAGGGUCCAGUCCGGCCCCUGUUUGACUUUGCAAAGUGUAAAAAUGAGUUGUUUUGAUGAUAAAGUAAAAUACUGUUCCAGAUACCUGAGACGAGAUGUGUUGUGUCUUUGCAGAUACACUGUGACCUGUACGUUGUAACGCACAUGUGUAAAUGAUAAAAUGAGGCACAAUAUUGUUAAAAUUGCAACUUUUCUUCUUCAAAAAUGUCAGGUUGUUCAUAAUGUUUAGUAAAAAGAUUAAAUUAGAACAUUUUCCGAAUGUAUUUGUACUUUUUUGCACUAAAACAAAGAGAAAAGUUGUGAAUUGUUGUUAUUUACAGGUUAUCAUGCUGUGAUGUUACUGCUCCGGUCCACUUGAGAUCACAUUGUGCUGCAUGUGGCCCCUGAACUAACAUGAGUUUGACCCCCCUGCUGUAGAGCCUGUCAUGUCCAGCUCCUGAUCUGGUAGUAAUAUUGAGAAUACAGUUGUUGCUCUUUGGCACCUCAUCAGAUUUGGGUUAGCGGGAGCAUUUUGUUUACAGGUCUGUCCUGUUAUACUGCAGAAACAAACAGCAGUAAAACAUCAUGUGAGGUACAACAUGUAUAAGAGAAUGAAGUGACCAUUAAAUAUCAAAAUGUGCUGUGUGAGCAUAAUCUCAUAAACAAGGCUGGAUUAGCAAAGCAGGCACCUGCCCCGAGGCUCCAGGUUCAUGCAUUACUGGAGUUAAAGGUAAUGAUGAUCGAGUGUGUACUAAACAUAAAGGGAAAUGAUAGGGGAGCAACUCCUCCACUUGUACCAUGUAGUAAAAUCUAUUCUUUAUUCAUGCAUGUUGCUUUUUAAAUGAACUUGUACCAACACAUGCACACGCAGGGGGAGGACCAGCGUCCACAUGGGGUUAAUCUGGCUCCUUUAACAACAGAAAGCAGCUGUGGAUCCUGAUAAUGUAGAUGUUUUAUCGGUGACAAUAAAGACAACAUCUGUUUACUCGUCCAAAUGUAUAACUUUGACUCAGAUGUUGCAAUAAACUGUAGUUUUAGACUGGAGGGGGUCUGAGAUUAAUCAUGUCCACACCGAACCUCCUGCAGCAGGAUGCACGUGGGGACUUUGGCUCUUUUCUCUUUGUUUUAAAUUGGGUUUUAUGAGAACAUACAUUUGAUGUCCACAGAUUGUGCUUCCAGGCCGUUUUGGCCCUCAUGUUGUUUUGAUUGUGUUCCACCUUUCAAUCAUUAACUCUGAGCGGAUGAAGGAUGCACGGAAAUCAUAAAGUUCGGGGUCUGAUCACUACUCAACUUUUAUUGUAUUAUCAUAAGACAAAUCAAU
Molecule: long non-coding RNA, 1891 nt
Organism: Cottoperca gobio
Lineage: Eukaryota; Metazoa; Chordata; Actinopteri; Perciformes; Bovichtidae
Source: Ensembl